Molecule: ribosomal RNA, 253 nt
Filed under: uncultured bacterium
Lineage: Bacteria
Description: partial 16S ribosomal RNA
Rfam family: Bacterial small subunit ribosomal RNA
Source: RNAcentral
UACAGAGGUGGCAAGCGUUGUUCGGAAUUACUGGGCGUAAAGGGCGCGUAGGCGGUUCGUUAAGUCCUGUGUGAAAUCCCCCGGCUCAACUGGGGAACUGCACAGGAAACUAGCGGGCUUGAGUUCGGGAGAGGGAAGCGGAAUUCCGCGUGUAGUGGUGAAAUGCGUAGAGAUGCGGAAGAACACCAGUGGCGAAGGCGGUCAACUGGCCUCAUAUUGACACUCAGACGCGAAGGCAUGGGUAGCGAACGGG